RNAcentral lists this ribosomal RNA (262 nucleotides) under Vibrio anguillarum. RNAcentral describes it as "partial 16S ribosomal RNA". It matches the Rfam family "Bacterial small subunit ribosomal RNA", at positions 60 to 324 of the family's 1533-position model. The record is from RNAcentral. Lineage: Bacteria; Pseudomonadati; Pseudomonadota; Gammaproteobacteria; Vibrionales; Vibrionaceae.
AAGUUAACAGAGCCUUCGGAUGACGUUAACGGCGUCGAGCGGCGGACGGGUGAGUAAUGCCUAGGAAAUUGCCCUGAUGUGGGGGAUAACCAUUGGAAACGAUGGCUAAUACCGCAUGAUGCCUACGGGCCAAGAGGGGGACCUUCGGGCCUCUCGCGUCAGGAUAUGCCUAGGUGGGAUUAGCUAGUUGGUGAGGUAAGGGCUCACCAAGGCACGAUCCCUAGCUGGUCUGAGAGGAUGAUCAGCCACACUGGAACUGAGA